UGAAGAGGAGUGUCCAGCUGGGCCCUGCACCAUCUAUAUGUAGGGAAUGGGGGCGCCUGGGUGGCUCAGUCGGUUGAGUGUCCGACUUCGACUCAGGUCAUGAUUUCACAGCUCGUGAGUUCGAGCCCCGCGUCGGACUCUGUGCUGACAGCUCAGAGCCUGGAGCCUGCUUUGGAUUUUGUGUCUCCCUCUCUCUCUGCCCCUAACCCACUCGCAUUCUGUCUCUGUCUCUCUCAAAAAUAAAUAAACGUUAAAAACAUUUUUUUAUAUGCAGGGAAUGAUGGAGAUCAGGAUUGCCUGGCUUUGGCAGGUUCUGGGGGCCCAGAUCCUAGGUGCCAGGGCCCCUGAUGGGGCAUUACCUGUGCCGUCCAUUUGUAAGGCAAGAGGAGUGUCUUGGUGCUCACAGCAGCAUCUGUGAGUUUUUACACAUGAUAAGCAGGCAAGUGGUUCAUCUGGGGAUCUGGGACCUGCUUCGCUGGUGGGCGGGGCUUCUGUCAUCCAAGCAAGCAUUUGAGGAUGGACUUGCAGAGCUGAGGAAUCAACGCUUCGCCGAUCUCGGCCCAGAGAAUCACAGAGUUUAAUUAUCCAGGCCCCCAGCUCGGGUCCCAGGCUCAGCAACAGAAGGAAGAAGGCCUCAUGGAUGGUGGGAAGCAGGUGCUUCCCUGGGGCCAGUGACUUCACAUCCUCGCCUCCCAGAACAGAUGACCUGCGUCUCAUCACGUGCUACCCCUGCAAUGGGAGCUCCCAGCCUCCACCUGAACUCCACCUGGGGCCCAUCUUACCCUGGGCUCCAUCCUGCCCCAUGUCAGACCUUGUACCACCCACCCAUCACCCCAUCCCAGGUCUGUGACAGGGGAUGAGAGGCAGCAGGAGAGCUGUGUGCCCUCACCCAUGACCUCUGUCCUCUGUCACCACUGUGCACUUUGGAGGUUGCACUGGCACAAGGUGGGAGCUGAUGGUGGUGCCGGGCAGGUCCUUGAUGCCCCUGGGCCAGUCCGCCCCAGGGAGCACUAGGGAUUGAAUAAAUAUCUGCCGUGUUUAUUAAAAAAUAAAUUU
This 1056-nucleotide long non-coding RNA is filed under the name Felis catus (domestic cat). RNAcentral describes it as "lncRNA (ENSFCAG00000046603.2)". The record is from RNAcentral. Lineage: Eukaryota; Metazoa; Chordata; Mammalia; Carnivora; Felidae.